AACCUCCAGAUUCCUUACCCAUCAAAUUUAAAUAUUUGUCUGAGUGUCUUAAAAAAAAGAGGAAAAGUUAAACUAAAGUGAAUUUGGAGUCUUUAAUAAUAUAGAAGUUCAUUUCAAACAUAU
RNAcentral lists this small nucleolar RNA (123 nucleotides) under Echinops telfairi (small Madagascar hedgehog). RNAcentral describes it as "Small nucleolar RNA SNORA61 (ENSETEG00000026877.1)". Lineage: Eukaryota; Metazoa; Chordata; Mammalia; Afrosoricida; Tenrecidae. The record is from RNAcentral.